CAGUAGCCGCGGUAAUACGUAGGUCCCGAGCGUUGUCCGGAUUUAUUGGGCGUAAAGCGAGCGCAGGCGGUUUGAUAAGUCUGAAGUUAAAGGCUGUGGCUCAACCAUAGUUCGCUUUGGAAACUGUCAAGCUUGAGUGUAGAAGGGGAGAGUGGAAUUCCAUGUGUAGCGGUGAAAUGCGUAGAUAUAUGGAGGAACACCGGUGGCGAAAGCGGCUCUCUGGUCUGUAACUGACGCUGAGGCUCGAAAGCGUGGGGAGCGAACAGGAUUAGAUACCCGCGUAGUCCCUGUCUCUUAUACA
Molecule: ribosomal RNA, 301 nt
Filed under: uncultured bacterium
Lineage: Bacteria
Description: partial 16S ribosomal RNA
Rfam family: Bacterial small subunit ribosomal RNA
Source: RNAcentral